ACUAAAGCCCAACCUAAAACUUAGAUGGCAAUGCCAAAAACCCCAAUCCACGGUUGGUCCAAGAGACAAAAGACAAUUUACAAUAUUAUAGUCUAGAAAACCCUAGGCAAAGUUACUGAACAUUCUAGAAGAGAGAGGAAAAGCCUCCAACGCUCAAUCCUGCUCCGGUGGAUGAGUCUCCUUGGGAAGACAAAGUCACUUGCAUAGAAAGCAACCUUGUCCAGAUCCGGUUGAUAACAGUGAAGAGGAAGGUGAAUUCUGCAUAUAUUUCGACCUCUCCAAUGGCGCGAUGCUCGGCUGAUGAAGUUCUCCCAAGGAAGAUGAGCCACCUGAAAUCUGCAUUUGGACUACAAGAAAGCCUAAAUCGGUCUAGUAAAGGGGCAAGAGCUGCAAGAGAAGAAGAACUAUGAUUAUGCGGUUUCAAGAAUUUCGCGAAUUCAAAAAACGAGUUCGCGAAUUUAGAAAAAUGAAUUCGCGAAUUUUGCACGAUUUCGUUCCCAAACUACUAGUCUAGCCUAGUUGUAGUUUUUUUCUAUUAGUUGCGAUGCGAACAGGCCUUUACUUAUUAGAUUAGUUGAGUAGGCUUGCAUUAGUUGUCUGCCAUAGCUAGUUUUGGGGCUUUCGAAAUCAAAAAGUCUAUCCGGCUUGGCUUCGCUAUCGCUCAUGACUUGUAUUUACGUCGGCCCGGAAUGCCCCUAUAGUCUUUCCAAUCCGCCGAUCCGCGUGCGGAGCUUGGGAGUCUGAUCCUCAUACACGAACUGUGUGACUAAGACUAUCUAAUAAUAAUAUGGAUAAAAAUUCUUUUUAUAUGGCA
Molecule: long non-coding RNA, 814 nt
Organism: Cornus florida
Lineage: Eukaryota; Viridiplantae; Streptophyta; Magnoliopsida; Cornales; Cornaceae
Exons: 2
Source: RefSeq, a predicted model, not a curated record